AUUUGCGGAGGAUUGUGUUGCGGCAGGAAAAAAUCUUCAUAAUUUCAGAUGAAUUAAGAUCUUGACACAUAUUAAAGUGCAAAGUCCGAAAUCCGUACUCAUAGGAACUUCAGCGACACCGGAUUUGGGAUUUUUCAGGAUAAUAGAUCAUCAAUUUAAAUCUGAAAGAAAUUAGAAUUUUAUUUGGAUGUUUAUAUAAAGAAUGG
Molecule: long non-coding RNA, 206 nt
Organism: Stegodyphus dumicola
Lineage: Eukaryota; Metazoa; Arthropoda; Arachnida; Araneae; Eresidae
Source: RefSeq, a predicted model, not a curated record